Molecule: ribosomal RNA, 301 nt
Filed under: uncultured bacterium
Lineage: Bacteria
Description: partial 16S ribosomal RNA
Rfam family: Bacterial small subunit ribosomal RNA
Source: RNAcentral
CAGUCGCCGCGGUAAUACGGAGGGUGCAAGCGUUAUCCGGAUUUAUUGGGUUUAAAGGGUCCGUAGGCGGAUCUGUAAGUCAGUGGUGAAAUCUCACAGCUUAACUGUGAAACUGCCAUUGAUACUGCAGGUCUUGAGUAAAUUUGAAGUGGCUGGAAUAAGUAGUGUAGCGGUGAAAUGCAUAGAUAUUACUUAGAACACCAAUUGCGAAGGCAGGUCACUAAGAUUUAACUGACGCUGAUGGACGAAAGCGUGGGGAGCGAACAGGAUUAGAUACCCCCGUAGUCCCUGUCUCUUUACA